This 253-nucleotide ribosomal RNA is filed under the name uncultured bacterium. RNAcentral describes it as "partial 16S ribosomal RNA". It matches the Rfam family "Bacterial small subunit ribosomal RNA", at positions 524 to 776 of the family's 1533-position model. The record is from RNAcentral.
UACAGAGGUCUCAAGCGUUGUUCGGAUUCAUUGGGCGUAAAGGGUGCGUAGGCGGCGCGGUAAGUCGGGUGUGAAAUCUCGGGGCUUAACUCCGAAACUGCAUUCGAUACUGCCGUGCUUGAGGACUGGAGAGGAGACUGGAAUUUACGGUGUAGCGGUGAAAUGCGUAGAUAUCGUAAGGAAGACCAGUGGCGAAGGCGGGUCUCUGGACAGUUACUGACGCUGAGGCACGAAGGUCAGGGGAGCAAACGGG